UAUCUCUGUAGAGUCUGCAUAUCAAUAAGCGGAGGAAAAGAAACUAACAAGGAUUCCCUUAGUAACGGCGAGUGAAGCGGGAAGAGCUCAAAUUUGAAAUCUUCAAGGUUCUACCUUGACGAAUUGUAGUUUAAAGAAGUGUUUUCUGUUAGAUGAGUUGCAAAAGUUCCUUGGAAUGGGACAUCAUAGAGGGUGAGAAUCCCGUAUUUGGUUAUUCAUUCUAGCUUUGUGAUACACUUUCAAAGAGUCGGAUUGUUUGGGAAUGCAGUCCAAAAUGGGUGGUAAAUUUCAUCUAAAGCUAAAUAUUGGCGAGAGACCGAUAGCGAACAAGUACCGUGAGGGAAAGAUGAAAAGAACUUUGAAAAGAGAGUUAAACAGUACGUGAAAUUGUCAAAAGGGAAGCGUUUGACACCAGUGUUGUUUUUCCGAAAAUCAAUUACGAAUGGCUUGAUUCUGUGUUGUAUUGACCUUAUCAGCUUUCUUCACUUUUUUCGAGUCUUUCUUAAUGCACUUUUCGGUUAACAAGUCAACAUCAAUUUCUUUUGUUGUAAAAGAGUAUUCGGAAGGUGGCUUUCUUUUCGGAGAAAGUGUUUAUAGCCCUAUACUUCUACAAUCGGAGAGAUUGAGGUCUGCAGCGUAGAUCCUUCGGGGCUAGAUACAUUAGAUGCUAAGUUAUAGCUUUUUAUAGACAACUUGUUGACUAUGAUUCAGUCAUGUAGCUUACUCGCUUAUGCCUAUUUUACCUACGCUUAGGAUGUUGAAGAUGUAGCACAUCAU
Molecule: ribosomal RNA, 777 nt
Filed under: uncultured Neocallimastigales
Lineage: Eukaryota; Fungi; Neocallimastigomycota; Neocallimastigomycetes; Neocallimastigales
Description: partial large subunit ribosomal RNA
Rfam family: Eukaryotic large subunit ribosomal RNA
Source: RNAcentral